This 578-nucleotide ribosomal RNA is filed under the name uncultured bacterium. RNAcentral describes it as "bacterial SSU rRNA". It matches the Rfam family "Bacterial small subunit ribosomal RNA", at positions 338 to 916 of the family's 1533-position model. The record is from RNAcentral.
CCUACGGGAGGCAGCAGUAGGGAAUAUUGGACAAUGGGUGCGAGCCUGAUCCAGCCAUGCCGCGUGCAGGAAGAAGGCCUUCUGGGUUGUAAACUGCUUUUGCCGGGGGAUAAAAGACCCAUGCGUGGGGAAUUGAAGGUACCCGGUGAAUAAGCCACGGCUAACUACGUGCCAGCAGCCGCGGUAAUACGUAGGUGGCGAGUGUUGUCCGGAUUUAUUGGGUUUAAAGGGUGCGUAGGCGGCCCCGUAAGUCAGUGGUGAAAUACGGCAGCUCAACUGUCGAGGUGCCAUUGAUACUGCGGGGCUUGAGUACAGUCGAGGUAGGCGGAAUUGACGGUGUAGCGGUGAAAUGCUUAGAUAUCGUCAAGAACACCGAUAGCGAAGGCAGCUUGCUAGGCUGUAACUGACGCUGAGGCACGAAAGUGCGGGGAUCAAGCAGGAUUAGAUACCCUGGUAGUCCGCACAGUAAACGAUGGUCACUCGGUGUUGGCGGUACACGGCCAGCGCCUUAGCGAAAGCGUUAAGUGACCCACCUGGGGAGUACGCCCGCAAGGGUGAAACGUUAAAUGAAUUGACGG